This 420-nucleotide ribosomal RNA is filed under the name bacterium. Its description in RNAcentral is "partial 16S ribosomal RNA". It matches the Rfam family "Bacterial small subunit ribosomal RNA", at positions 355 to 776 of the family's 1533-position model. The record is from RNAcentral.
UGGGGGAUAUUGCACAAUGGGCGAAAGCCUGAUGCAGCGACGCCGCGUGGGGGAUGAAGGCUUUCGGGUUGUAAACCUCUUUCGCUAUCGAACAAGGCCCGCUUAGGGUGGGUUGAGGGUAGGUGGAGAAGAAGCGCCGGCUAACUACGUGCCAGCAGCCGCGGUAAUACGUAGGGCGCGAGCGUUGUCCGGAAUUAUUUGGCGUAAAGGGCUUGUAGGCGGCUUGUUGCGCCUGCUGUGAAAACGCGGGGCUUAACUUCGCGCGUGCAGUGGGUACGGGCAGGCUUGAGUGUGGUAGGGGUGACUGGAAUUCCAGGUGUAGCGGUGGAAUGCGCAGAUAUCUGGAGGAACACCGAUGGCGAAGGCAGGUCACUGGGCCAUUACUGACGCUUAGGAGCGAAAGCAUGGGUAGCGAACAGG